CCUACGGGUGGCAGCAGUGGGGAAUAUUGCACAAUGGGGGAAACUCUGAUGCAGCGACGCAGCGUGAGUGAAGACGUAUCUAGGUAUGUAAAGCUUCAUUAGCAGGGAAGAUAAUGACGGUACCUGUCUAAGAAGCCCCGGCUAACUCCGUGACAGCAGCCGCGUUUAGAUGGAGGGGGCAAUCGUUAUCCGGAUUUACUGGGUGUAAAGGGUGCGUAGGUGGGAGGGCAAGUCAGAUGUGAAAACCCGGGGCUCAACCCCGGGAGUGGAGUUGAAACUGUCCAGCUGGAGUGCAGGAGAGGUAAGCGGAAUUCCUGGUGUAGCGGUGAAAUGCAUAGAUAUUAGGAGGAACACCGGUUGCGAAGGCAGCUUACUGGACUGUAACUGACACUGAGGCUCGAAAGCGUGGGGAGCAAACAGGAUUAGAUACCCCUGUAGUC
Molecule: ribosomal RNA, 440 nt
Filed under: uncultured bacterium
Lineage: Bacteria
Description: partial 16S ribosomal RNA
Rfam family: Bacterial small subunit ribosomal RNA
Source: RNAcentral